CAGCCGCCACGGUAAUACAGAGGGUGCAAGCGUUAAUCGGAAUUACUGGGCGUAAAGCGCGCGUAGGUGGUUCGUUAAGUUGGAUGUGAAAUCCCCGGGCUCAACCUGGGAACUGCAUUCAAAACUGACGAGCUAGAGUAUGGUAGAGGGUGGUGGAAUUUCCUGUGUAGCGGUGAAAUGCGUAGAUAUAGGAAGGAACACCAGUGGCGAAGGCGACCACCUGGACUGAUACUGACACUGAGGUGCAAAAGCGUGGGGAGCAAACAGGAUUAGAUACCCGCGUAGUCCCUGUCUCUUAUAC
RNAcentral lists this ribosomal RNA (301 nucleotides) under uncultured bacterium. Its description in RNAcentral is "partial 16S ribosomal RNA". It matches the Rfam family "Bacterial small subunit ribosomal RNA", at positions 509 to 807 of the family's 1533-position model. The record is from RNAcentral.